GAUGAAGAACGUAGCGAAAUGCGAUAAGUAGUGUGAAUUGCAGAAUUCAGUGAAUCAUCGAAUCUUUGAACGCACAUUGCGCCCCUUGGUAUUCCAUGGGGCAUGCCUGUUCGAGCGUCAUUUGUACCUUCAAGCUUUGCUUGGUGUUGGGUGUUUGUCUCGCCUUUGCGUGUAGACUCGCCUUAAAAUAAUUGGCAGCCGGCGUAUUGAUUUCGGAGCGCAGUACAUCUCGCGCUUUGCACUCAUAACGACAGCGUCCAAAAGUCCAUUUUACACUCUUGACCUCGGAUCAGGUAGGGAUACCCGCUGAACUUAAGCAUAUCAAUAAGCGGAGGA
RNAcentral lists this unclassified non-coding RNA (336 nucleotides) under soil metagenome. RNAcentral's name for it is "partial contains 5.8S ribosomal RNA, internal transcribed spacer 2, and large subunit ribosomal RNA". The stretch from base 1 to 120 matches the Rfam family "5.8S ribosomal RNA", at positions 35 to 154 of the family's 154-position model. The record is from RNAcentral.